RNAcentral lists this ribosomal RNA (428 nucleotides) under uncultured bacterium. RNAcentral's name for it is "bacterial SSU rRNA". It matches the Rfam family "Bacterial small subunit ribosomal RNA", at positions 355 to 775 of the family's 1533-position model. The record is from RNAcentral.
UGGGGAAUAUUGGACAAUGGGGGCAACCCUGAUCCAGCCAUGCCGCGUGUGUGAAGAAGGCCUUUUGGUUGUAAAGCACUUUAAGCAGUGAAGAAGACUCCAUGGUUAAUACCCAUGGACGAUGACAUUAGCUGCAGAAUAAGCACCGGCUAACUCUGUGCCAGCAGCCGCGGUAAUACAGAGGGUGCAAGCGUUAAUCGGAAUUACUGGGCGUAAAGCGAGCGUAGGUGGCUUGAUAAGUCAGAUGUGAAAUCCCCGGGCUUAACCUGGGAACUGCAUCUGAUACUGUUAGGCUAGAAUAGGUGAGAGGAAGGUAGAAUUCCAGGUGUAGCGGUGAAAUGCGUAGAGAUCUGGAGGAAUACCGAUGGCGAAGGCAGCCUUCUGGCAUCAUAUUGACACUGAGGUUCGAAAGCGUGGGUAGCAAACAG